GAUUUUCCGUAUGGCUGAGUGGUUUAAGGUAUCCCUCUUGAAAAGGGACGUACAUUUUUUGGUGUACCGUGGGUUCAAAUCCCACUGCGGUCU
This 93-nucleotide transfer RNA is filed under the name Paramoeba aparasomata. RNAcentral describes it as "tRNA-Ser". It matches the Rfam family "tRNA". Rfam says of the family: Transfer RNA (tRNA) molecules are approximately 80 nucleotides in length. Their secondary structure includes four short double-helical elements and three loops (D, anti-codon, and T loops). Lineage: Eukaryota; Discosea; Flabellinia; Dactylopodida; Paramoebidae. The record is from RNAcentral.